AUACAUACACACACUU
This 16-nucleotide small RNA is filed under the name Arabidopsis thaliana (thale cress). RNAcentral's name for it is "ATSL246690". Lineage: Eukaryota; Viridiplantae; Streptophyta; Magnoliopsida; Brassicales; Brassicaceae. The record is from RNAcentral.